RNAcentral lists this ribosomal RNA (388 nucleotides) under uncultured bacterium. RNAcentral describes it as "partial 16S ribosomal RNA". It matches the Rfam family "Bacterial small subunit ribosomal RNA", at positions 523 to 918 of the family's 1533-position model. The record is from RNAcentral.
AUACGUAGGGGACGAGCGUUGUCCGGAAUUACUGGGCGUAAAGGGCGCGCAGGCGGAUAUUUAAGUCAGCUGUAAAAGGCAUGAGCUCAACUCAUGUAUGCGGUUGAAACUGGGUAUCUAGAGUGCUGGAGAGGUAGGCGGAAUUCCCGGUGUAGCGGGUAAAUGCGUAGAUAUAUGGAAGAACACCAGUGGCGAAGGCGCCUCACUAGCCCGAAACGGACGCUCAGUCACGAAAGCGUGGGUAGCAAAUAGGAUUAGAUACCCUAGUAGUCCACGCUGUAAACGAUGACAACUAAAUAUUGCCGCGAGGCAGGGUUGAAGCUAACGCAUUAAGUAGGCCGCCUGGGGAGUACGGUCGCAAGACUGAAACUCAAAGGAAUUGACGGGG